This is a long non-coding RNA of Zingiber officinale, 303 nucleotides long. RefSeq lists it as uncharacterized. The record is from RefSeq and is a predicted model, not a curated record. The transcript is spliced from 3 exons. Lineage: Eukaryota; Viridiplantae; Streptophyta; Magnoliopsida; Zingiberales; Zingiberaceae.
UGGAAAUUCGUUGGAAGAACCCUAAUAAUAUCUCGACCUAGCCCGAUCUCUUCUCCUCACCUCUUGACCUAAUUUUUCUCCUUGCUUGCAAGACGGCGGCUGCGGCGAUUUUUCCGCCCAUCUCUUGACCGACGGCGGCUGCGGCGAUUUUUCCGCCCAUCUCUUGACCGGUUUGGAUUUGACGUGGCUGGGAGAGACGUUCGAUUUUAUUUACCUUUGUUAGGUAUAUUUAUUUACACAUGAUAUUUUAAUAAUGAUUGUAUGUUUUUAUUUUCCUCUAUUAUAUGUUAUUUGUAGUUGUAU